GUUAGAAUGAUCAGCUACUUGGGUGUUGUUGUUUUUUGUUUUGUAACCAAAUAAGUUUAAUUCCUACAUAUUGCAUUUGCCUCCUCUCCAAGCUAACAAAAUAAUUCCUUUGGAAGGAGAAUUUCCCUGCACUCCCAAGCAAGUGUUGCAAGAGAAGAUUUAACAAGGAACUAGCGAGAGAGCUCAGCCAUAAACUUCGCUCCAAGCUGAAACUUAGCAUAGAGGGCCUCUAUGGGUGAUUUGCAGGAAAGGGAUUUCUACAGUGGGCAUGGGAGUCUCAGAAAGAUGCUGCCAUCUCUCAGCAAGAUCUAACCCUGCCAGCCUGCUCUUCUUGGCUGUGAGGUCUGGCACAGACAAAGCCAAAGCGAGACUGAGUCAUAAAAAAACAAGGCACCACCCAUUAUUUCAACACUGUGGAGUGACUGCUGCAGCGUGAUCUCAAGUGCCAAACAACAGAUGAAUCCCAUCCGGUUAAUUGUUGCCCCGGCCAGUCAGAUGCAGGUUGCUUGGUCUUGCAAUAAAGGACAAAAGUCCUUUCUUCUCUUUGUUGCAUGUAACAAAGAUGGUUUGAUGCAGCUGGGAUCAGGCCCACAGCUGAUCCCCCCCACCCCUCCCUCCUGUGCCACUCAGCUGGGCUCAGCUGGUGAAUCCUGGAGAACAGAAAAACAAUGUUUCUUAUGUUUCAGGCUGUUGGGGCUGUAAUUGGUUAGCCCAACUGUAUGUAUGGAGCCUCUCCCUCUCCAUUGAGGGUCUUACCCCGCCUUUGUGCUCUCCUGUUUGCAUUGCUCGGAGGUGCGAUGAGGGAACAUUCUGGCCGGGUUAGAGACACAGACACACAGUGACAGAAAGGGAACCAGGAGGAGAAACAUUUUGGAUGUGAGAUCUUUGUCGCCCAUGGGGAGAGUCUAUUACACAAGGCUGGGCUGAGGCCACUGGGAGCUCUUUGUCACUGAAUUUUAUUCACAAACCACGGGAACCUCAGGCAGCACAAACCGCCCCAGUGCAGGAGAUUCAGAGUCUGGGUGAUUUCGUCCUGGCCUGCUGCAGGAGCAAGAGCACGGUGGAGCCGGAGUAGCCAGGUCUGCCCCAGGUGCAGAUGGACAAACCGCACUGCUCAGAAAAUAGCUUCUCUCUUUAUUUCCCAGGAGGUGAUGCCCUCUCUUGGAUCCCACUGCUUCACCAGAUACUUCUGUCAUGGUGCAUUGCGGUUAGUGGUGAACACAGUAGCCAGAGAUAUUUU
Chelonia mydas (Green sea turtle) is the source of this 1240-nucleotide long non-coding RNA. RefSeq lists it as uncharacterized. The transcript has 3 exons. The record is from RefSeq and is a predicted model, not a curated record. Lineage: Eukaryota; Metazoa; Chordata; Testudines; Cheloniidae.